RNAcentral lists this long non-coding RNA (259 nucleotides) under Vigna radiata. RNAcentral's name for it is "long non-coding RNA (VRAD_LNC011816)". Lineage: Eukaryota; Viridiplantae; Streptophyta; Magnoliopsida; Fabales; Fabaceae. The record is from RNAcentral.
GGGGACUUGUGGUUUAACUUAUCUAGUAGUGUAAACUGAUUAAAUUUGACUUGAUUGUAUAUAUUUAUUUUUUUAUCUUUUUAUCUUUUUAUUUUUUUUCUUUUAUAUAAAAAAAGUGCUACUAGGGUUUGUGUUUCUUGUGCAUGCAGCAGGAGCUCAGACAUACUAGGAGCAAGAAAAAUACGCAACCUCUUCUUGAAGGCUUAAGCGAGACAAGGGGAAGAAGGAGAGUCAGACGCCCAUCUAGGGAUUUGUUUCC